Molecule: ribosomal RNA, 410 nt
Filed under: uncultured bacterium
Lineage: Bacteria
Description: partial 16S ribosomal RNA
Rfam family: Bacterial small subunit ribosomal RNA
Source: RNAcentral
UGGGGAAUUUUGGACAAUGGGCGCAAGCCUGAUCCAGCCAUGCCGCGUGCGGGAAGAAGGCCUUCGGGUUGUAAACCGCUUUUGUCAGGGAAGAAAUCUUCUGAGUUAAUACCUCGGGAGGAUGACGGUACCUGAAGAAUAAGCACCGGCUAACUACGUGCCAGCAGCCGCGGUAAUACGUAGGGUGCAAGCGUUAAUCGGAAUUACUGGGCGUAAAGCGUGCGCAGGCGGUUUUGUAAGACAGAGGUGAAAUCCCCGGGCUAACCUGGGAACUGCCUUUGUGACUGCAAGGCUUGAGUGCGGCAGAGGGGGAUGGAAUUCCGCGUGUAGCAGUGAAAUGCGUAGAUAUGCGGAGGAACACCGAUGGCGAAGGCAAUCCCCUGGGCCUGCANUGACGCUCAUGCACGAAA